This is a long non-coding RNA of Xenia sp. Carnegie-2017, 1576 nucleotides long. RefSeq lists it as uncharacterized. The transcript has 2 exons. The record is from RefSeq and is a predicted model, not a curated record. Lineage: Eukaryota; Metazoa; Cnidaria; Anthozoa; Malacalcyonacea; Xeniidae.
UAUGUUCACGAAAGCUUUUCAAAUUUCUUAGGCUUAAAAUUUUUCUUUUUAGCAUCCAUUUCUGAAGAAUGCCAAACCAUUAGCAAGUCUUGUUCCUUUAAUUAUGGCUGCUAAGGAAGCAACUCAGCGACAUUAAUAGUGGAAGACCCAAGAAAAUAUUACAUCCUAACUGUAAAGAAUAAACAUUUAUUGAUGAAGGAACAUAUUUGGACAGGCGAUGAGCGACUGUGGAUUUUAUUUGGAAAUUUUAACGGUUUGUAUGAAAAUGGACAAAUUUCAAGUAUUUACGUAAACGCAUUCCUGGAGCAAUACAUCUUUGUUUGAACCUGCAUAUGUCAGAUGUAUUUCUGAAUCAUGCUAUAGAAGAUCAUAAAUUCUAACAAUAGACUUUUUAUUCACUGAGUAAAGGGUCGUUAAGACAUGUAAAUAUUGUGAAAAAAGGGCGUUUUGAUUGCAAAGUUGCAAAUAUUUUAAUAUGCAGAAAGUUAAACAAAUUGUCAUAGAUCGCUCGUGUGUGUCUUGAUGAUACUGUUGAGAAAAGUCAUCGAUGAGAGUUUUCAGAAUUAUAUAUAAUUAAAAUAAAAUAACACACAAGUUUGUGAUGAAAUUUUUUAAAUAAAAUAUGAUGCGAACUAUGUAUGAAAAAUUUUGAUUCUAAUGUUCGAAUGUGGUUGGCGUAAUCUACAUAAAUGUAUUAUUUACUAAUAUUUGUGUUUUUGUGUUGUAUUUUCCAGCACUAGUUCGUUUUUGUAGCAAAAUAAGACAGGUUACAUGGCGAUCUUUGUCGUGUUGUAAUAUUGUUAUAUCACGCAAACUGCAAUCUUACAUUCAACAUAAAAAUUUUACCAUAAAUUGCUAAAAUGUUCGUGAAUUUAUUGUUUCACAAUUCUUUUUAUUGAUCUAUAUUUUCUUAUCCAUUUAUGUUUAAAAAAUACGAAUGGCAAACAAUCAUAACACGAUGAACAAGAUGACUGCUUUCCGUAAUUCUAGCCAUGCUUUCCAACGCUUUCCUGCCUGGUAUAAAAGUCUCCCAUCGUCAUUCAAUUCUUUAUCCUUGGUUGUUCGUUUGUAGGGAUUUUGCUUAUUACUUUUAGUAAAAUUGAAUUUUAGCUAAUUGUAAUGAAUUUGGGGAACUUGCAAAUGCCAUUAAAAGUCAAGAGUCCUUCAGAAAUGAACAUCUCAAGUUACCCAGUCAAGAUUUUGUUCAUGUUAUUGAUCUGAUCCACGAGAAAACAAUGUUAAAUAAAGAUUUCUUACCAAUGGUGUGUAUUGGCUUCCUGUGAGGUAAAAGACCAAAACUAUACUGAAAUAUACCGCGACCAUAAAAAAACACUGGGGCAAAAGCAAUAGUCUUUUGAAUUUUUGUUUGUAUUUCUCGCAAACGAGAACCUCGGGGAUUACUGACUUGUUUGAAAAUAUCAUUUUCACCAAAUGAAAACACUGGAACAAGAGAUGAUCUAAAAUAAAAAAACUAUACUUACGAUGAGAUCACAUAAGUUUGUAGAGCAGUAGCUUGCUUUUUUAAUUUGUGUUACUGUCUUAUUUAUUAAAUAAAAUCAUCACCAUUUUCAUCUAA